AGUUAUAGGCAAAAUUUUGUGCGAAAAUGAGAAAAUUUUACAUUUUCUCAACAGGGUAAGGAACUUGGUUCCUCGAAUAACUUCCGGCACGGACACCUGAGAGCAUGGCCGUCCAAGAAGAAAAUGUAGCCAUUGGUGCCAUCUAUCGACCACAGGUUAAAGAUUGGCGAUUCGUUGGAUACCGACCGAGUUAUAGGCAAAACUUUGUGCGAAAAUGAGAAAAUUUUACAUUUUCUCAACAGGGUAAGGAACUUGGUUCCUCGAAUAACUUCCGGCACGGACACCUGAGAGCACGGCCGUCCAAGAAGAAAAUGUAGCCAUUGGUGCCAUCUAUCGACCACAGGUUAAAGAUUGGCGAUCCGUUGGAUACCGACCGAGUUAUAGGCAAAAUUUUGUGCGAAAAUGAGAAAAUUUUACAUUUUCUCAACAGGGUAAGGAACUUGGUUCCUCGAAUAACUUCCGGCACGGACACCUGAGAGCAUGGCCGUCCAAGAAGAAAAUAUAGCCAUUGGUGCCAUCUAUCGACCACAGGUUAAAGAUUGGCGAUUCGUUGGAUACCGACCGAGUUAUAGGCAAAACUUUGUGCGAAAAUGAGAAAAUUUUACAUUUUCUCAACAGGGUAAGGAACUUGGUUCCUCGAAUAACUUCCGGCACGGACACCUGAGAGCAUGGCCGUCCAAGAAGAAAAUGUAGCCAUUGGUGCCAUCUAUCGACCACAGGUUAAAGAUUGGCGAUCCGUUGGAUACCGACCGAGUUAUAGGCAAAA
Molecule: long non-coding RNA, 766 nt
Organism: Anopheles funestus (African malaria mosquito)
Lineage: Eukaryota; Metazoa; Arthropoda; Insecta; Diptera; Culicidae
Exons: 2
Source: RefSeq, a predicted model, not a curated record